RNAcentral lists this ribosomal RNA (1750 nucleotides) under Copidognathus sp. 1 ARP-2018. Its description in RNAcentral is "SSU rRNA". It matches the Rfam family "Eukaryotic small subunit ribosomal RNA". The record is from RNAcentral. Lineage: Eukaryota; Metazoa; Arthropoda; Arachnida; Trombidiformes; Halacaridae.
CAUAUGCUUGUCUCAAAGAUUAAGCCAUGCAUGUCUAAGUACAUACCUUAUUAAGGUGAACCCGCGAAAGGAUCAUUAAAUCAGUUACGGUUCCUUGGAUAUAAACACUUUACAUGGAUAACUGUGGUAAUUCUAGAGCUAAUACAUGCACCAUAAAUCUUGACUCUUCGGAGAAGAGAUGCAUUUAUUAGACCAAGACCAAUGGGAUCUUUCGGGGUUCCUGAUCUGGUGACUCUGGAUAACUGCGCUGAUCGCACGGCCUAUGUGCCGGCGACGAAUCCUUCAAGUGUCUGCCUUAUCAACUUUCGAUGGUAGGUUAUGCGCCUACCAUGGUUGUAACGGGUAACGGGGAAUCAGGGUUCGAUUCCGGAGAGGGAGCCUGAGAAACGGCUACCACAUCCAAGGAAGGCAGCAGGCACGCAAAUUACCCACUCCCGGAACGGGGAGGUAGUGACGAAAAAUAACAAUACGGGACUCUAAUGAGGCCCCGUAAUUGGAAUGAGUACAAUCUAAAUCCUUUAACGAGGAUCAAUUGGAGGGCAAGUCUGGUGCCAGCAGCCGCGGUAAUUCCAGCUCCAAUAGCGUAUAUUAAAGUUGUUGCGGUUAAAAAGCUCGUAGUUGAAUCUCAGUUUAUGUUAAGCGGUCCACUUGCCGGUGGUUACUGUUUAGCUUGAACAUUAUACAGACCUGAUUUCUGAUGCUCUUAACCGGGUGUCGGAAACGAUCUGUACGUUUACUUUGAAAAAAUUAGAGUGCUUAAAGCAGGCGUCAAGCCCGCAUAAUCUUGCAUGGAAUAAUGGAAUAGGACUUCGGUUCUAUUUUGUUGGUCUUCGGAACCUGAGGUAAUGAUUAAGAGGGACAGACGGGGGCAUUCGUAUUGCAACGCUAGAGGUGAAAUUCUUGGACCGUUGCAAGACGAACUACAGCGAAAGCAUUUGCCAAGAAUGUUUUCAUUAAUCAAGAACGAAAGUUAGAGGUUCGAAGGCGAUCAGAUACCGCCCUAGUUCUAACCAUAAACGAUGCCAACCAGCGAUCAGCCUGAGUUCUUUAAAUGACUCGGCUGGCAGCUUCCGGGAAACCAAAGUGUUUCGGUUCCGGGGGAAGUAUGGUUGCAAAGCUGAAACUUAAAGGAAUUGACGGAAGGGCACCACCAGGAGUGGAGCCUGCGGCUUAAUUUGACUCAACACGGGAAAACUUACCCGGCCCGGACACUGGGAGGAUUGACAGAUUGAGAGCUCUUUCUUGAUUCAGUGGGUGGUGGUGCAUGGCCGUUCUUAGUUGGUGGAGCGAUUUGUCUGGUUAAUUCCGAUAACGAACGAGACUCUAGCCUACUAAAUAGACCGUUGACUCUCCGGCGUCAACGGGACUUCUUAGAGGAACAAGCGGCAAUUAAGCCGCACGAAACAGAGCAAUAACAGGUCUGUGAUGCCCUUAGAUGUCCGGGGCCGCACGCGCGCUACACUGAAGUGAUCAGCGUGCAUAGAUUACCCGCUCUGACAAGAGUGGGUAACCCAAAGAACCUUCUUCGUGAUAGGGACUGGGCAUUGUAAUUAUUGCCCAUGAACGAGGAAUUCCCAGUAAGCAUGAGUCAUAAGCUCGUGUUGAUUACGUCCCUGCCCUUUGUACACACCGCCCGUCGCUACUACCGAUUGAAUGAUUUAGUGAGGACUUCAGACUGGUCGGUGUGGCUGCUUUCGGGUAGCCGCGCUGUACUGGAAAGAUGUCCAAACUUGAUCAUUUAGAGGAAGUA